Long non-coding RNA from Mus musculus (house mouse), 1453 nucleotides. RefSeq annotates it as predicted gene 15802. Lineage: Eukaryota; Metazoa; Chordata; Mammalia; Rodentia; Muridae. The transcript has 5 exons. The record is from RefSeq and is a predicted model, not a curated record.
UGUGGCAGCCCAAAGUAGGUGGAUGAAUCUGGCUGAUAACUUAGCAACACUCACUCUCACAAAGGAAGACUGCCAAUGGACGAGCAAGUAUGAGCAAGAGCUGGGAUUCUGUCUCUGGACAAGAGGCAGGUUCAGGCAGCGUGGGGGCCAAGCUCUCUCAGGAACCAUUCUUUUAACUGCCUCACCAAUAACAUGUGUCUCCCACACCUGAGAGGCUCUCCUUCCAGGUGUACCCAGUUCUCCAUGACUGCUGGACGGCUACAGGCAGCACCCAAAUGAGGGGCUUGGACACAGGGAGACCAACUGAGGGUCGCUGUCUUCAGUGGAACUCCACAAAAAAUGGAAUAAAGAACAGUGGGAAGGGGUAAUUCACUCGCCUCCAGGAGUGGCCCAGGAGGAGAGAGGCUACCUGAGGAGGAGAAGGAAACACAAAAGGUACCCACUGCAGACUGGGAGAAAGAGGAUGCCAUCGGUGCUGGGACCUGUAAUACAGCAUGGUGGGACUGGCUCCAGGCCCAUAAGCAAUGGGCAAGAGAGUUAGACGUGAAGCCACAGAGCUAUUUGGGUUCAUCCUUCAUUGCCCCUUUCGGCUUCUGCUGCUGCUGCAUGAUCUCUAAGGCCCUCUGCUUGCAAGCAGCUGCAGUUUCCCUUGAGUCCCUCCGCUUCUUCACAUUCUUGGAGAAGGGAGGUUCAGUAGGGGGAAGGUUGGUUACCAUUGGUUACUGACGGCAGUGGCUCCAACUUGCCUCAGAUGAGCUCCCUCAUUUGGGCUUGUGUUCAUACUUUUAAGGCCCUCUUUGAUCUCCCUGUUGCCGAGAUGCCGCUGUGGAUGCUGAUGUUGUCCACGAACUAGAACGUCAGAGUUUUCAGGCUCUGCAGCGAAGACUGAUGUCCUGUCCCCAUCUUGACGCUCAUCCUCUCUUGGGAUGAACAGUUUCUAUUCUGCCAUCUUACCUGGAGGACAUCUAUAUAGACUUUGAAGCUGGACCACUGGUGAGAUAAUCUGACAGCCACCAUCACAGAGAUAGGGCAGAGAAGAGUUCCUGAGUCUCGUUCACUUGAGCUUUGGCAUAAGAGAACGUCACCCAGGGUGCUUGUCACCAGACAGAAUAGCAGAAGGGUUGUGUGGGCUGCAGCUUUUGUAAUCACCAAAAGUGAGUUAGCCCCCUACCGCCAACUCUCUCCCACUUCCAGUUCCUAGGAGAUAUCAAUGGCUUAUCAAGGAAGUGACCUGUUAGGACGGCCAGGAGCCACCGGGACCCAAGCUUUCCUCGUGUGCUUGUGGGAUAUAUCUGGUAGGCACAGGAACUCAUGGGUCUUUGCUGGCACCAAGACAACUCUUGAACAUUGAGGUCCGCCCCAGACCCUGUUCUUAUGGGUAUUGUUUGCUCGAGUGCGGAUACAGGUCUGGUCCUUUGAGACAUUGCUUAUUACUUCUGACUUCUUAGAAUUU